AACGGAAGCUGGCGGCGUGCUUAACACAUGCAAGACGAACGAUGAACCCGGAGCUUGCUCCGGUGGCUUAGUGGCGAACGGGUGAGUAACACGUGAGUAACCUGCCCUUGACUCUGGGAUAACUGCGGGAAACUGUAGCUAAUACCGGAUACGACCCUCGGCGGCAUCGCCAGGGGGUGGAAAGAAUUUCGGUCAAGGAUGGACUCGCGGCCUAUCAGCUAGUUGGUGAGGUAACGGCGCACCAAGGCGACGACGGGUAGCCGGCCGGAGAGGGGGGCCGGCCACACUGGGAGUGAGACACGGCCCGGAUGCCUACGGGAGGCAGCAGUGGGGAAUAUUGCGCAAUGGGCGCAGGCCUGAUGCAGCAACGCCGCGGGAGGGAUGACGGCCUUCGGGUUGUAAACCUCUUUCGGCCGGGAAGAAAUCGCACAGGCUAAUACUCUGUGUGGAUGACGGUACCGGCAUAAGAAGCACCGGCUAAC
Molecule: ribosomal RNA, 482 nt
Filed under: uncultured bacterium
Lineage: Bacteria
Description: partial 16S ribosomal RNA
Rfam family: Bacterial small subunit ribosomal RNA
Source: RNAcentral